UGAGAAAAGUCUUGGUUUUCAGAAAUAUUUAGAUUUCGGAACUGUGCAUGAGAGACUGUGGGCCUGCAAGAGAAGCUGUUAAUUAAUCUCGAGAGACAGAAAUGUUUUCCCAGUUCAGAAAUCUAAUACCACGUGGACCUUAAGGAUAUUGCACAACAAAGCAGGCAGGUUCACCCGUGGACGUUUCUCAAGAAAUGCAUUGUUUCAGCAAACUCUGUUGAACGCCAGUGGAUGCAUCUGGCCUGCAGCUGGAGCGUGAGGUCGGGAGGGCAGGGCAUGGCAAUGGGCAAGAGAUGACCUCCACCCUUCAGGGAUGCAUCGUGGGGGGCUGAGUGCGACAUGGGGAAGUGAUCCUGGGAAGGCCCAGGAGGCUUUGCAUGGGGCAGGGCUGGGUGCAGGAUGUGUUUGGCUACAGGCGACAAAGACCCAGGCUCAAGCUGGAUGGAGCAGCUGGAAGCGGGCCGUCUCAUGGCAAGAAGUGGAGAGAGAGUCAAGGGCAGCAUAUGCCAGGCUCGGCCCUCCUCAGGGUGUGGCUUCCCUCUCAGCUGGUAAAUGACAUGACAUCCUGACACAGCAAAGUUCCGAGGAACAUACUAGACUGUUUCUUCCUGUAAGUCUACUUUAUCAGAGAGGAAACCUUUCCCAGGGUCUCCUGGCAGACUUUUGCUCACCUCUCAUCAGCAGGACAGGUCACCUACAGCCCCCCUGCAAGGGGGUGAGGGUAGAAUGGCUGACCACGACGCAUCAGGACUGAUCCUCAGGUCACAGGCUGGGGCAGACGCUCUUGGUUUGUUCAAGACCAUGGGGGAUUUUUUUGGAGUUGUUGUGCAGCAUAAAGAGACUACCCCCAACGCACGACCACGACUUGCAGCUCAAGACCACGCCACCCACCCUGAAGUCCCUCCGCAGUAGACAGAACUGUUCCUGUAGUGACGGGCGGUCACUCGCUAGCACUGGUGUCUGUGAAAGGCAUAGGGACACCAGGUCAGACCAUAAGGGAGUCUCAGACUUUUCUCCAAACCCGCCCCCAACAACCGAGAGUGAAUAAGACACAAGAGAGCAUUCUACAAAGCCGCCUGAACUACACGUGGUUUUACCUAGCACCUCACGUUGAUUCCCUGCUGUUCAUAAUACUACUGUUUGUUAUUUUUUUUUAAAGAUUUUUUUAAAAAUUUUUUUUCCUUUUUCUCCCCAAAGCCCCCCAGUACAUAGUUGUAUAUUCUUCGUUGUGAGUCCUUCUAGUUGUGGCAUGUGGGACGCUGCCUCAGCAUGGUUUGAUGAGCAGUGCCAUGUCCACACCCAGGAUUCAAACCAACGAAAUACUGGGCCACCUGCAGCGGAGUGCGCGAACUUGACCACUCAGCCACAGGGCCAGCCCCUACUACUGUUUGUUCUUAAAAGGUGCUUGAGAGUGGUCACUCUUGCCCGCUGAGUGUGGCUCACCCUCCCUGUCCGCCCCAGACUGUGGUUUGAGAACUAAGCUAUUGAGAACUAAGACAACCCCCAAGGUCAACCCCUCCUAAUUCCAGCGAGGUGGGGAGGGUGGGGCCCUGAAGAGAUGGGGGACAAGUGCAGAGGCCCUGACAAGGCUGAUGAGCGGGCUGUGGGGUGUCGGUGAGACAGCAGUGGGGAAGGGGGAACAGGGAGGCUGCUGCCUGGAGCCAGCCUGGCCAGCGCCCCAACCGGGCCCUGGCGGAGGGGGUGGGCACCACCUAAAAAACCUGGAGAGAAGCGCAGUCCGUGGCCCUUCCAGGCUCCUCGCCUCCAUGAGGCCCCCUAUAGCCUUCCCUACUCUUAUUCUCUGUGUUGAUCUACAAGGUCAGUCUCAAGAGGGGACAUGAGGCCUUGUGCGUCCCAGGCCCAUGUGGACAGAGGAGGGGCUGCGUGCUGGGCUGGGGUUGCCACAUCCAGAGGUCAGAGAUCAUUUGCUCCCUUUCGCAGCAGGGUCAGGCCUGGGAGGUGCUGAGCACCACCAUCAUAGCCCAACCCCCAUAGCUAUCCAUGUUCCACGGGAGUUUGGCUUCAUGCCACGGGGCAAGGCCAGUGGUCUGGGUGGUGUUUCCUAGGGAGAUGGGAAUGGUAGAAUUACUUUUCAAAGCUGAAAGGGCUGGGGGUGGUGUUGCCGGGGGGUGGGGCAAGCUUCUUGGAAAGCGGGUGGAUAGCACCAGGCAGGGACUCACACCUGGGUUCAUACAGAUGGCCCCUGUGGGCAGCAUGGCUGGGUAGCCACCUCCCAAAAGGAAAUGCAAUCUGCCUUCUUCCUCUUCUCUAGUCAAUAUUUAUUUAUCCAGAAGAAGCUUUGGUGACAGAAGUUCAGAGCUGCGCGUAGCUGUCUCUAAUGAGGGCAAUAGGGAAUAGAAGUGGGACGAAGCCAUCCCUCUGGGCCUGCCUUGGGAGGCUAACAGCCUUUGUGUCUGCAGAGUCCCAUGCCUGUUCUAAAGUAUGCUCUCGUCUUUUCUCUCAGUCUCUCCUUCCGGUGCCAUGGUGGAGAGGUGUCCCCAGUCAGAUCCUCAUUUUACAGAUGGGGAGACUGAGGCCCAGGACACUGCUGUGCCACACGCACACCCAGGGUUACAGAGGUGCUGCCUGGAGGCAACCCUGCCGGGAGCCUGCAGCCUCUUCCUGUGUUCUGGGCACUGCCCACUUUCUGAAAAUUACAACUGCCAGUUGUUGCCAUGGUGACUGAUUGUAUUAUUCCAUCACUGCAGAGCUGUGUGUGCCACCUCGUCCCAAGACAGUCUGUCUCUGCAGGAGACAAUCUCUACCUCCAGAUGAAGAAACCAAGGCUCAGAGAAAUUUGGAAAUUUGCCAAAUCACCAUCCAGGCUGGUGUGCCGUGGAUUGGAAGGGCACCUGAGUGUGUUGGUCUGGGGCUCAGGCCCUUCCCUUUGGCCAUGCAGGCCCAGGAGACCAUGGAUGGGCCCUCCUCCCACCAGCCAGUCUUGCCCUGGAACUGGCUGUCCCACCCUGGGGCCUCGGCACUCGCAGUCCCUCUGCCUACUAGGCUGUCUACCCCAUACGCUGUUCCCAGCCAGCUCAGCCUAAGCCUGCUCAGAGGGGCCUCUCCUAGCUGCCUGGUCUAGUUCUUCCCUGCUGGUUGCACAAUUUGAGGUGAUGUCCUCCUGCCUCUGCUUCUUUUCUCUGGGCCUGUCACCUCCUGCUGAACAGAGGAGUCCUCGAGAGCCAGGGUGUUUUCCACAGUUUUCCGAUGGGGAAGCAGGCUCAGAGAGGUUCUCUAGUCAGCCCAGCGUGGCACAGCAGAGCCAAGGUUUG
This 3272-nucleotide long non-coding RNA is filed under the name Equus caballus (horse). RNAcentral's name for it is "lncRNA (ENSECAG00000055084.1)". Lineage: Eukaryota; Metazoa; Chordata; Mammalia; Perissodactyla; Equidae. The record is from RNAcentral.